AAAAAUAAUAAUUGAAGAAAAUACAAGAAUAUUUUUACAAAUUUGCCGGUAAAAACCCUCCAAUUCACCGGUAAAUCGAACAAAAGAAAAAAUACACCCCUCCUGAAAAACAAAUCCACCGGUAAAAAUCCUGAAAAAAUCACCUCCUAAUCCCACCAUUUUACCGUCUCCUCGCCCCUCCAUCCACCCAUUCUCAGCCUUUCACUCUCAUUUUCACUUCUCACCCAAAAGUACAGAGGAGUGAAAAACCCUCAAACCACCGCUAGAGAGAGGAAAGAUUAGCAGAGAGGAUCUUGGAAUUUGGGAAUUUGCUCCGAGUGAUUAACGCUUUGGAGGGGGUUUUACAAUUUGGGGUUUUUUCUCUGAGUGAUUAACGCUUUGGAGGGGGUUUUGCAAUUUGGGGUUUUUUCUCUGAGUGAUUAACGCUUUAGAGGGGGUUUCGCAACUUUCUGUGAGAUGCAACGACAGAGGUAGCAGGUGGCGAACACAACACAGAGAAAUCCAAGAAAGAAAAAUCCCGCUGCUUGUAUCUAAAGACGAUUGCUUAUAACAAAUCUUCAUUUGCAAAGAUUUGGCUGAUGGCUGUCCAGUUUAAAUACCGCAGUUAAAUAUUGAUGGGCAAGGCGAAUUUUGGAGUCGGCAAUUGGCAUGGCUCCCAAAGAUAAGAAUUUUGGCAGGCAGAGAUAUGCUCAGCAGCAUGAAUUAAAGAUUUGAUGCACUGCCCGGGAUUCCGAAAUGCAGAAAUAAAUACUUUUGCAAUAGUAUGGAAGAAGUUUAUACUGUAAAUUUCAUAGCAUGUCUAUACAACAAUCAUUUAUUAUACCUUCCGUAGGUAGUCAUACUACAACACAACUUUUGAAAUGACUAAUCAGCUUGUGAAAUGGAGUGUUGUUCUAGGAGCAAAGGAUUUGCUUAAGCGAUCACAUGGCAUCGAUUAUUUACACAGCUGAAGCAAGAAAGGCAGGAUAGAGCAAGGUUUCAAGGCAAAAGUUAUGCAGAGGUGAUCCCGUUACUUAUAUGCAGUAUGUGUUGUAGUUUUUGUUUGUGAUCUCUUGAAGGCUUCUGGAAUUCAUAAUUGGAAUGGCAUGUGGUGACGUCUUUGAGAACUUUGCAGUCUCUUUUUUCAAGCAUAAAGACAAAAGAAUGAAUCUGCUCGUGUAGUAGACACUUGCUCUUCCGUGCUUGGACUCAGGUCGAAGUUUGUCGCUUUUACCAUCCUCUGACAACAACAUUGCAUCCACUCGAUAGGACUUGGCAGGGAAUGAAAACACUUGCUGAACUAAGGAUGAAGAAAACCUUCCAAACAAGGAUUCACUUUACAUGGUGAGAACAUAACUCCUUUCUUUCCUACUCCAACCUUAAGAAAGAAAUAGAAAUGGAUCAAUACACAAAUUGAGGGGUACUUCUACUACAGGUAGAUUGUAUUUUAAAUUGGUGAUUUUAGAAAAAUUAUUCUUUAAUAUGUUCUGUUAUUUAUUAAAGUUUUAGCUUUAGUAUUUUACAUUUAUGCUCCAUGCACAAGUUUAUAAUUAAAUGUUAUCAUAUGUAGACUAAUAAGAUAAUUUUUUUUAUUAAAUGCUAUGUAGUAUUAUUCACCUCGUUAAUAAGUUUUAAUUUGACUUAAAAAAUUAGAACUACUAAUAGACGUCUUUUCAGUUAAAAGCUACUAAAAUUAUAUUUAGGUGGUAGUAGUAGUAUCGUUGUAUAACUAAUUCUCAUUUAUUAAUAAAAAUAGUCCUUAAGGGUAUAAAUGUCUUCUCACACUUUUAUCUAUGUAGUGUAAAGAAAUCUAUGGUUAUUAGAUAGUUUAUUUUUCUAUUGAAACUUUGUCUCUUGACAAAUUUUUAUUUGUUAUUAAGAAGAGAAUUAAGUUAUCAUUCAUAGUUUUUAUGUAUAAUUGAAACAUAGAUUACUUGAUGUUAUUUGAUCAUAAUAUUGUUCAUUACUCUGUGUGUUUGAUCACAAUAUAUUAUAAAAAAAAGGAGGUAAUCCUUUUAUCUUUUGAUGGCUCCUUUAUGCAUUUUGUUAUUAUGGUCAGUAUGUUUUUUCAUUGUUCUAUAAACAAACUCUUGUUUGCAGUUCUGAUUUAUUGUCUUUAUUUUUCGGGUGUUAGCUGAUACGUAAUUGAACAAGUGUACAAGUUUCUGAAUAUUUGUGCCUUCAGCAUGUUUAUGAAAUAUGACAUUUCCUUUGAUGAUUUUGCUUGCUUGCAGCUUCUGAUUUAUUGACUUUGCUUUCUUGGUGUUAACUGAUACAUAAUUGAACAUGUGUACAUGAUUCUGCAUUAUGGAGUAGGUGGAUAAUAUAUUUUUCACAAAUAUAAUCAAUAACUAAACAUACUUAUAUUUCCUUUUGAAUAUAUCAGAUGAUAGAAAACCAUAACAAAGUAACUGUUAGUGAUGUUAAGAGACCCUAAUUUGAAGGUAUGUGGUAGUUUUUGAUACAUUACAGUUGGAAGUUAUAGGAGUCAGAUUCAACUAUUGUGUUAUUGUGUUUGGUCGAUUUUUUGCCUAUAUUGUUAUGGUACUCAUUUUCACCAGAAUUGGGAUUGAUGUGUUUGAAUCCUUGUAUAGAUGUUAAAAAGAUUGUGCUACUUCUGGAGAGUUCAUGGCCUCUACCACUCUGGGCCAUGUGAGUCGGCUCCUUCAUAAACAGGCUUUUGUAACUCAUAAUUGGAAUGACAUGUAGAGAGGUUUUGGAUAAUUUUAUAGUCUGUUUUACCAGCAUAAAGACAAAAGGUAAUGUGCCUUGUGGCAUUGAUGGUCUAUUUCUGCAUUGUGGUAUGUGAAACUGUUUGUGUUCAACACCUUGCUGCCAGACUUUCUGAAUUUGUUCAGGUGCUGAAACUCUAUUGUUGCUCUCCAUUCUUCAGCUUUUUGGUGCUUACGUUACACAAUGAACUAAAAUACAACCUUGUAAGAGUCCUAGGUUAUUCCAAAAAGAGUCCUAGAAUGUAAGAUGAUGAUUGCUAGGUUGCUAAAAAAAAAAGACUUACAUUUUCCUCCUUUUCCCCCAUACAUUGUAAAGCUAUUAAAAUUAUUACUCUAUUCUAUCUUUUUACAGUAUGAUUUUUCAAUAUUUUCAUUCUGUUAGAUGCAUUAUUAAUUAAAUUACAUGUUACUUGGCAAUCUUAUUUUAUAAAAUGAAUCUGCUCGUGUGGUAGACACUGUGCUCUUGCGUGCUUGGACUCAGGUCGAGUUUGUUGCUUUUUACCAUCCUGUGGAAACAAUAUUGCAACCACUAGAUACGAUUUGGCAGCAACGAAAACACUUGCUGAUACAAGGAUGGAAAAAACUUUCCAAUGCCAGCCAAUAAGGAUUCAACUUACUUAUAACUCCUUUCCUUUCCUACUCCAACCUUAAGAAAGAAAUGGAAAUGGAUUAAUAAACAAAUUGAGGGGUACUUCUAAAUUCUAAUAAAGGAGGAUUGAUAAGUUUUUAUGCGUGAUUUUAUAAUAUUUAUUCUUUAACAUUUUUUGUUAUUUGUUGAAGUUUUAGCUUUACUAUUUUAUGUUUGUGAUAAAUGUGAUAAAUGUAGACUAAUAGGAUAAAAAGAUAUUUAGUAUUAAUCACCUCUUUAAUAAGUUUUAAUCCGUCUUUUCGUUAAAAACUACUAAAAUUAUAUUUAGGUACUACUAUCCUUUUACAAUUAAUUCUCAUUUAUUAAUAAAAGUAGUCCUUAAUGGUAUAUAUCU
Long non-coding RNA from Sesamum indicum (sesame), 3694 nucleotides. RefSeq lists it as uncharacterized. The record is from RefSeq and is a predicted model, not a curated record. NCBI's taxonomy places the organism in Eukaryota, Viridiplantae, Streptophyta, Magnoliopsida, Lamiales, Pedaliaceae.